ACACCCUCAAGCCCUGCUUGGUGUUGGGUGCCUGUCCCGCCCCGCGCGGCGACUCACCCCAAAUGCAUUGGCGGCGGCGCCUUGCCCCUCCCGCGCAGCACAUUGCGCUUCUCGAGGCGGCGGGACCGCGUCCACGAAGCCGACAACCCGU
RNAcentral lists this unclassified non-coding RNA (151 nucleotides) under uncultured Pleosporales. Its description in RNAcentral is "sequence contains ITS2". Lineage: Eukaryota; Fungi; Ascomycota; Dothideomycetes; Pleosporales. The record is from RNAcentral. RNAcentral also lists the same sequence under 1 other name.